Molecule: transfer RNA, 70 nt
Filed under: Habrocerus capillaricornis
Lineage: Eukaryota; Metazoa; Arthropoda; Insecta; Coleoptera; Staphylinidae
Also listed under: 1 other name
Description: tRNA-Val
Source: RNAcentral
CAGAUUAGAGCUUGGCUAAAAGUAUUUUAGUUACAUUAAAAAGUUAAUUGUGGGAUUCAAUUUAAUUUGA